CCCCUUCGUCUAGAGGCCUAGGACACCGCCCUUUCACGGCGGUAACAGGGGUUCGAAUCCCCUAGGGGAUGCCA
RNAcentral lists this transfer RNA (74 nucleotides) under Shewanella algae. RNAcentral's name for it is "tRNA-Glu". It matches the Rfam family "tRNA". From Rfam's summary of the family: Transfer RNA (tRNA) molecules are approximately 80 nucleotides in length. The record is from RNAcentral. Lineage: Bacteria; Pseudomonadati; Pseudomonadota; Gammaproteobacteria; Alteromonadales; Shewanellaceae.